RNAcentral lists this ribosomal RNA (253 nucleotides) under uncultured bacterium. Its description in RNAcentral is "partial 16S ribosomal RNA". It matches the Rfam family "Bacterial small subunit ribosomal RNA", at positions 524 to 776 of the family's 1533-position model. The record is from RNAcentral.
CACGUAGGAGGCGAGCGUUGUCCGGAAUCAUUGGGCGUAAAGAGCGCGCAGGCGGCCCGGCAAGUCGGGUGUGAAAUCCCGGGGCUCAACCCCGGGACUGCAUUCGAUACUGCCGGGCUAGAGGUAGGUAGGGGAGAUCGGAAUUCCUGGUGUAGCGGUGAAAUGCGUAGAUAUCUGGAGGAACACCGGUGGCGAAGGCGGCAUCCUGGACCGGUAUUGACGCUGAGGCGCGAAAGCCAGGGGAGCAAACGGG